GCUGGUGUCGGUUAAUGGUAAGCCAGCUGUCCUAUACACAGUUUAGUGGUCGAUUGCCGCAAAAUCUCGGUUCGAGUCCGAGCGCCAGUA
Molecule: transfer RNA, 90 nt
Filed under: Caudoviricetes sp.
Lineage: Duplodnaviria; Heunggongvirae; Uroviricota; Caudoviricetes
Description: tRNA-Ile
Rfam family: tRNA
About the family: Transfer RNA (tRNA) molecules are approximately 80 nucleotides in length. Their secondary structure includes four short double-helical elements and three loops (D, anti-codon, and T loops). Further hydrogen bonds mediate the characteristic L-shaped molecular structure. tRNAs have two regions of fundamental functional importance: the anti-codon, which is responsible for specific mRNA codon recognition, and the 3' end, to which the tRNAs corresponding amino acid is attached (by aminoacyl-tRNA synthetases). tRNAs cope with the degeneracy of the genetic code in two manners: having more than one tRNA (with a specific anti-codon) for a particular amino acid; and 'wobble' base-pairing, i.e. permitting non-standard base-pairing at the 3rd anti-codon position.
Source: RNAcentral